Macadamia integrifolia is the source of this 2631-nucleotide long non-coding RNA. RefSeq lists it as uncharacterized. The record is from RefSeq and is a predicted model, not a curated record. Lineage: Eukaryota; Viridiplantae; Streptophyta; Magnoliopsida; Proteales; Proteaceae. The transcript is spliced from 4 exons.
CGUUCAGGAAUCAGGAUCAGCCGUGUGUUUUGGGCCACAAAAAUUUUAAGUAUUUAAUUCCACCGCCCAUGGAUCACAACAAAACUUCUAUAUAAAGGACGUUCAGGAUCUACCCUGUACUAGCUCCUAGGUCGCGGUUUCUCUGCAACUCUAUGUGCAAACUAAUGGCGGCAGCUACGAGGGACUCCAUGUAUAUCUCUCCCCCUGUUUUAGCUUCUAUACCACCUUCAACAAAACAAAGAAACCCCACUUUGAAUCCCUGAAAUGAAGAAAAUAAUCCAUUCAAGAGAAACCCACCCAAGAUCUCAGUAGCUAUGACAGAGGUACUUGGCUGGGCCUCUUCCUUUCCCUCCCCUGGGUCUAUAGAAUCAUUGGCAAACCAAGAGAAGACCUUGUUUCCUGAGGAAGUUCCAAAUAGGGACCAAUCGAAAUGUGUUAAAUUUGUUGUUGAAAGGGUUUGGAGUAGAUUAAAAGAUGCCCCCUUGGUUGAUGUUAAGUAUCUUAAUGCAAUUGGAUACAUUGUGGAACAUCUAUUACCUUUGUUGAAUUUGAAAUCUAUAGAUGUUCAAUUUAUGAGGAUUUUGGAAUGGGUGGACUCGGCAAAAGAAGUAAUGCAAAGGCUGUCUACAAUCAAAUCUUGAGAAUGUUUCAAAGGAAGUAGCUUUCUUGCAGAUAUUAGAGAAUAAGCUUCAAAACACAAGGGUAUAGUUUCUUUGCAACAAAAGCUUAUUUAUGAUAUCUUGAGAAAGCAAAAAAGAUUCUCAUUGCUCUUCAUGAUGUGGGCAGUCAUUGAACAUUAUACGUUGGCGGAAAAGUGCAAUUGAUUUGGUCCUGGAAGUAGGAUCAUCAUAACAACUAGAGAUGAAACCAAUCUCUUCAACUCUAAGUUGUUAUAUGAACUUAAGGAAUUCCGCCUAGUAAUGUUCAAAAGAAGUUAAAGAUAAGCUAUGAUGGAUUAACAUGCACAUUGGAAACGAUAUUUCUUGAUAUUGCAUGUUUUUUCAUUGGAAUGAAUGAAGAUAUAUUGUUUUGCUUAUCAAAGCUUCUUUCUUUCAUCUAACAAGUGGAAUUAUUAUUCUCAUGUAAAAAACUAUGGAUGCAUGAUCAGCUUCGAGACAUAAGAAGAACAAUAAGUUAAGGAUGCAUGAUCAAAUUCGAGACAUGGGAAUGAUUAUAAGGUUUAGAUGCAUGAUCAGCUUCGAGACAUGGGAGAGACCCUAAGGUAUGAUGGAUGUAUGAUCAAAUUCAAGACAUGCAAAAGACCAUAAGGUAUGGAUGCAUGAUCAAAUUCGAGACAUGCAAAACAUCAUAAGAUAUCGAUGCAUGAUCAGAUUCGAGACAUGAAAAGUUCCGUGAAGUAUGGAUGAAUGAUCAGAUUCGAGACAUGGGAAAAAUUGUAAAGUAUGGAUGCAUCUGAGGAUGCAUGAUCAGAUGCGAGACAUGGAAAAUACCAUAAGGUAUGGAUGCAUGAUCAGAUUCGAGUCAUGGAAAUGACAAUAAGAUAUAGAUGUAUGAUCAGAUUCGAGACAUAAAAAAGACCAUAAAAUAUAAUUGCAUGAUCAACUUUGAGACAUAGGAAGACCAUAAAGUAUGGAUGCUUGAUCAGUUUCGAGACAUGGAAGGCAAAUGAAGGCCAUGGAGAACCCGAUAAGGGUAAUAGUUUAUGGUCUCAUGAUGAAAUCAUCGGAUGUGGGAUAAUUUUUCUGACUGUUGAUGUUCAAAAGAAGUUAAAAAGUAUGUACGAAGGAUUAACAUGCAUACGGAAACCAAUAUUUCUUGAUAUUGAUUGUCAUUUCAAAGGGAUGGAUGAAGAAAUUGUUGUUUUAUUAGUUGGAAGCUUGUCCUUGUCGUUCAAUAAUUGGACUCAAAAGUUUUCAUCCAAAAGUCCCUUGUAUAGGGUGAUCAUGAGUUGUGGAUGCACGAUCAACUUCAAGACUUCAGAAUACAAGUGGUCUAUAAAGAAAGCCUUGAAGAUGCCAUGGAGACGGGAGGACACAUGGAUUAACCAUUGAAGAAAUUCUCCAUAACUCCAAGGAGAGGCAUCGAUGGGCAUUAAACAUUUCCUAAUUAGUGGUGCACAGCUGGUGGGAUGGAUUUUGCAUCUAUCUUACCCUAAAUAGGUUAAGAUGGCAUGGUUUGCAAAAUGUCCUCUGGAAAUUUUUCCAUCAUGAUAAACUAGUGAUCCUCAACUUACCCUACAGGAAUGUUUUAAGGAAAGAUGACUGAAGAGUUGAAAGUUGUUGACCUAAGAGGAUGUUUAUACCUAAAUGCAACUCAUGGCUUGUUAUUGUUUCCAUCAUUGAUUAGUUGUACAUGAAAUUUUGAGAUUCCCAAAAGAGACUCUUUUGCGGAGACUUCUUUGCUUGAAUCUCUGAUCAUACAAGCAAACUCUUGGGAAUCCCUGUUAGUGUUUGUAAGUGGUGCUCUUAAAAAAUCUUUGUUUCUGGAUGCAAAUCAAUAACCAAAUCCAGAUAUUAGUAUUUGUAAGUGGUGCAUAUCAUCACUAACCAAGUCAAAUGUUGAAGCAGAAGAUUUGAAGAACUACAAAUUAGUAUUUGUUUAGUGUGCUGAUGCAUCAUGCAUGGCUGUACUUAAUUCCUUUAUAAUGAUGCAUUUUUGUAGUUUACUGAA